Empidonax traillii (willow flycatcher) is the source of this 1167-nucleotide long non-coding RNA. RefSeq lists it as uncharacterized. Lineage: Eukaryota; Metazoa; Chordata; Aves; Passeriformes; Tyrannidae. The record is from RefSeq and is a predicted model, not a curated record. The transcript is spliced from 2 exons.
UUUCUGUUUGAUUUCUUUCACAGAUCGAAGUGGACCUCGGUAAAAAGUGCUGGUAUCAUUCGAUAUUUGCCUGCCCCAUCCUUCGUCAGCAAACAACAGAUAAUAACCCGCCUAUGAAAUUAGUCUGUGGUCACAUUAUAUCAAGAGACGCUUUGAAUAAAAUGUUUAAUGGCAGCAAAUUAAAAUGCCCCUAUUGUCCAAUGGAACAGAGCCCUGGAGAUGCCAAACAGAUAUUUUUCUGAAGAGAAGUUUCAUUAUGCAGUUUGUAAGUGACACUCUGGAUUUCAGGUGCAUUUCAGGAGAAUUAAAACACACUUGUUCCCUUUUAUGCAGCAGACUGAGGACUCCUGUGUUUGUAUAAGCUAAUGCUACAGAAACUUUGCCAACAUUUAGUAUAUACAUACCAAGUGGGAAUGCUACAGAAAUAUUAUUACCAUAGGGCUUUACUAUACUCUUGGUCUCCAUACCUGAUCAAGUUACUACACCAGCAGUUGUCAUUCAAUGCAGGUUUUUGUACUUAAUUAUACGGUGACUUUUUACUUUUUAAAGGCAGAAAUGGAUCCACCCCCAUUUGUUUAAUAUUCUUCCUGCUAUUAUUCUGUCAUUUUACUGAUAACUGUCAUCUUAGAGAAUGUUUGUGGACAAAGUUUUAUUUCCUGUAAUGUGUACAUAAUUAAAGGUAAAUACUUCAGAAAAAAAAAAAAAGUUUGAUAAAUUGAAUAGUCGUUAUAAAACUAAUUUGUAUUUUUUUCGCUGAAAAUGCUGUGAUAUAUUCCGAGUUUUUUCUUUCAAACAUUUUUUCAACUUUUACAUAGAAUUCAAAGUAAAUGUGCAUAUAUAUAAAGUAUAUAAAAUAUAUAGCCCCGAGGGGCUACUUGUUAAAAUCCAUCACUAAUUUAUAAGGGUGAUGUGUGGCUAAAGUACUACUGGGGCAGAGAGGGAACAGGAAAUCCUGUUCCUUUGGUUUCACGAGGGAGAAGUGUUUGUGUAAGAGAACCUUCAAUAAAUUCUGAAGUGGAAAUGCUUUUAGUCGAUGACAUUUGCUCUCUGGCCUUUGUAGUCACGUUCUUUGAACUUUGUAUUCAGGAUUAGGCUAUAAAUGUCAUGUUGCUGUAUAGUUUAAUAGUCAUUAUAGUGUGCUAUUUAUAAACAGUUAUCAAAACCAAA